GACGAACGCUGGCGGCGUGCUUAACACAUGCAAGUCGAACGGAAAGGCCCUGCUUUUGUGGGGUGCUCGAGUGGCGAACGGGUGAGUAACACGUGAGUAACCUGCCCUUGACUUUGGGAUAACUUCAGGAAACUGGGGCUAAUACCGGAUAGGAGCUCCUGCUGCAUGGUGGGGGUUGGAAAGUUUCGGCGGUUGGGGAUGGACUCGCGGCUUAUCAGCUUGUUGGUGGGGUAGUGGCUUACCAAGGCUUUGACGGGUAGCCGGCCUGAGAGGGUGACCGGCCACAUUGGGACUGAGAUACGGCCCAGACUCCUACGGGAGGCAGCAGUGGGGAAUAUUACACAAUGGGCGGAAGCCUGAUGCAGCAGCGCCGCGUGCGGGAUGACGGCCUUCGGGUUGUAAACCGCUUUCGCCUGUGACGAAGCGUGAGUGACGGUAAUGGGUAAAGAAGCACCGGCUAACUACGUG
This 468-nucleotide ribosomal RNA is filed under the name uncultured bacterium. RNAcentral describes it as "partial 16S ribosomal RNA". It matches the Rfam family "Bacterial small subunit ribosomal RNA", at positions 28 to 507 of the family's 1533-position model. The record is from RNAcentral.